ACACAUGCAAGUCGAGGGGCAGCGGGAUUGAAGCUUGCUUCAAUUGCCGGCGACCGGCGCACGGGUGAGUAACGCGUAUCCAACCUUCCGUACACUCAGGGAUAGCCUUUCGAAAGAAAGAUUAAUACCUGAUGGUAUGAUGAGAUUGCAUGAUAGCAUCAUUAAAGAUUCAUCGGUGUACGAUGGGGAUGCGUUCCAUUAGGUAGUAGGCGGGGUAACGGCCCACCUAGCCUACGAUGGAUAGGGGCUCUGAGAGGAAGGUCCCCCACAUUGGAACUGAGACACGGUCCAAACUCCUACGGGAGGCAGCAGUGAGGAAUAUUGGUCAAUGGACGAGAGUCUGAACCAGCCAAGUAGCGUGAAGGAUGAAGGUCCUACGGAUUGUAAACUUCUUUUAUAAGGGAAUAAAACCUCCCACGUGUGGGAGCUUGUAUGUACCUUAUGAAUAAGCAUCGGCUAACUCCGUGCCAGCAGCCGCGGUAAUACGGAGGAUGCGAGCGUUAUCCGGAUUUAUUGGGUUUAAAGGGAGCGCAGACGGGUCGUUAAGUCAGCUGUGAAAGUUUGGGGCUCAACCUUAAAAUUGCAGUUGAUACUGGCGUCCUUGAGUGCGGUUGAGGUGUGCGGAAUUCGUGGUGUAGCGGUGAAAUGCUUAGAUAUCACGAAGAACUCCGAUUGCGAAGGCAGCACACUAAGCCGUAACUGACGUUCAUGCUCGAAAGUGUGGGUAUCAAACAGGAUUAGAUACCCUGGUAGUCCACACGGUAAACGAUGGAUACUCGCUGUUGGCGAUAUACAGUAAGCGGCCAAGCGAAAGCGUUAAGUAUUCCACCUGGGGAGUACGCCGGCA
RNAcentral lists this ribosomal RNA (847 nucleotides) under uncultured bacterium. RNAcentral's name for it is "bacterial SSU rRNA". It matches the Rfam family "Bacterial small subunit ribosomal RNA", at positions 51 to 890 of the family's 1533-position model. The record is from RNAcentral.